Potamilus streckersoni is the source of this 74-nucleotide non-coding RNA. The record is from the annotation of a GenBank genome assembly. Lineage: Eukaryota; Metazoa; Mollusca; Bivalvia; Unionida; Unionidae.
GGCUUCGGUGGCCUAGUGGUUAGAGCGCCCGCCUCUGAUGCAAAAAGUUUUGGGUGCGAUCCCCGGUCGAGUCA